UUUGGGGUCACCGAGGUCUUGGGGUCACCAAAUUUUGGGGACUUUGGGGUCUUUUGGGGACUUUGGGGUUUUGGGGCCAUUCAAGUGCAUUUUGGGGCCAUCCAAGCGCAUUUUGGGUCAAUUCAACCAUUUUUCGGCAUCCCCGAGCUCUUGGUGUCCCCGAGGGCUCUCGGUGCGUUGGGGCUGCCCCCAAACUUUGCGUUUCUCACCCCAAAUUUUGGGGAUAUUGGGGUCUUUUGAGGACAUUCAAGUGCGUUUUGGGGGAAUUCAAGUGCGUUUUGGGGUCACCGAGGUCUUGGGGACGCCAAAUUUUGGGGACUUUGGGGUCUUUUGGGGACUUUGGGGUUUUGGGGACAUUCAAGUGCAUUUUGGGGAAAUUCAAGCGUCUUUUGGGGUCCCUGAGGUCUUGGGGACACCAAAUUUUGGGGAUUUUGGGGUCUUUUGGGGAUGUUCAAGCGUCUUUUGGGGUCACCGAGGUUUUGGGGACGCCAAAUUUUGGGGACUUUGGGGUCUUUUGGGGACAUUCAGGUGUCUUUUGGGAACACCGAGGGGUCUUGGGGACACCAAAUUUUGGGGAUUUUGGGGUCUUUUGGGGAAAUCAAGUGUGUUUUGGGGACUUUGGGGUCUUUUGGGGACAUUCAAGUGUGUUUUGGGGUCACCGAGGUCUUGGGGACACCAAAUUUUGGGGACUUU
RNAcentral lists this long non-coding RNA (693 nucleotides) under Anas zonorhyncha (Eastern spot-billed duck). RNAcentral's name for it is "lncRNA (ENSAZOG00000008247.1)". The record is from RNAcentral. Lineage: Eukaryota; Metazoa; Chordata; Aves; Anseriformes; Anatidae.